Molecule: long non-coding RNA, 860 nt
Organism: Dermochelys coriacea (leatherback sea turtle)
Lineage: Eukaryota; Metazoa; Chordata; Testudines; Dermochelyidae
Exons: 4
Source: RefSeq, a predicted model, not a curated record
AGAUCUUCAUGGAGAUGUUUUAGCAUGAGAGAUCAUGCAAAAUGUACAAAGUAACAGUAUGGAACACUUUAGAAGCAGAGAAAAUUGUUCAGGUAGGAUGCGAUGCUUAAAGCGGGAAAAGGAAACUAUGGGCCCAGUUCCGUGAAGUCCUAGACACCUUCAACUCCAGUUGACUUCAUCGGGAGUUCAGAGACUUGCAAGACCCGGCCUGACUGGGACAGUUAACAGGAAGGACUGGGAGGAAGUGAGAGCACUGCUGGUGUUUGAGGCUGCACAGUGUGAAACAAUGGUGAUUUUGACAAAAUCCAGGGCUUUGCCUAUCUCAGUCUUCGGCUGGAAAACAAAAUGCCAGCAACCCUCCAGCCCCAGCUCCUCCUACCGCAGGGAGAGCGUCUAACUAAUCAAAAUAGAUCAUGAAGCCUCAUGAGAUAUUUAAUCUGGAUAUGGAUCGCCCGGUGGAAGAACCUGCUGCCAUUUCAAACAGAGUCCCUCAAGUCAGAUUGUCACGUGAUGCUCCUUAGUUCCCUCCAGCUGUACACCCUCCACCCAAACCUGGAGACACGGAAGCCACGCAGCCGAGUGUACUGAGGAAGCAGCUAUAAAAAUAAGAUACAAAAGCCAGCCUUGCAGGAGCAGCUUCAGCCUAAACAGGGUUUUCAUAGGCGAGUUUCUCACAAGUGCUUUGCCCUGUGGAAUGGAACAGAAACCAAUAGGGAUUUUUUUUCUACAGGCACUAAGGGCCAGAUUUUUAAAGGAAUUCAGGCACCUAACUCCAUUAGGCAUUGCCUACUAGAUUAGGUCAAACAGUAUCUAGUAUGUUGCAAAGAAGCCGGAGUUAGAGCUAGAUUUGUCAAGGUAUU